Molecule: ribosomal RNA, 502 nt
Filed under: uncultured bacterium
Lineage: Bacteria
Description: partial 16S ribosomal RNA
Rfam family: Bacterial small subunit ribosomal RNA
Source: RNAcentral
GACGAACGCUGGCGGCGUGCUUAACACAUGCAAGUCGAACGGUGAAGGGGUCUGCUUUUGUGGGCCCUGGAUGAGUGGCGAACGGGUGAGUAACACGUGAGUAACCUGCCCCCUUCUUCUGGAUAACCGCAUGAAAGUGUGGCUAAUACGGGAUAUUCUGGGUCUGUCGCAUGAUGGGUCUGGGAAAGAUUGCGCCUUUGGGUGUUUUUGGUGGGGGAUGGGCUCGCGGCCUAUCAGCUUGUUGGUGGGGUGAUGGCCUACCAAGGCGGUGACGGGUAGCCGGGCUGAGAGGGUGGACGGUCACACUGGGACUGAGACACGGCCCAGACUCCUACGGGAGGCAGCAGUGGGGAAUAUUGCACAAUGGGCGCAAGCCUGAUGCAGCGACGCCGCGUGAGGGAUGGAGGCCUUCGGGUUGUAAACCUCUUUCGCCAGUGAAGCAGGCCUGCUCCUUGUGGGUGGGUUGACGGUAGCUGGAGAAGAAGCGCCGGCUAACUACGUG